AUUGAACGCUGGCGGCAUGCUUUAUACAUGCAAGUCGAACGGUAACAGGUUAAGCUGACGAGUGGCGAACGGGUGAGUAAUGCAUCGGAACGUGCCCGGGCGUGGGGGAUAACGCAGCGAAAGCUGCGCUAAUACCGCAUACGAUCUAAGGAUGAAAGCGGGGGACCGUAAGGCCUCGCGCGAUCGGAGCGGCCGAUGUCAGAUUAGGUAGUUGGUGGGGUAAAGGCUCACCAAGCCAACGAUCUGUAGCUGGUCUGAGAGGACGACCAGCCACACUGGGACUGAGACACGGCCCAGACUCCUACGGGAGGCAGCAGUGGGGAAUUUUGGACAAUGGGCGAAAGCCUGAUCCAGCAAUGCCGCGUGCAGGAAGAAGGCCUUCGGGUUGUAAACUGCUUUUGUACGGAGCGAAAAGGUCUCCUCUAAUACAGGGGGCUCAUGACGGUACCGUAAGAAUAAGCACCGGCUAACUACGUGCCAGCCGCCGCCGUAA
RNAcentral lists this ribosomal RNA (493 nucleotides) under uncultured bacterium. Its description in RNAcentral is "partial 16S ribosomal RNA". It matches the Rfam family "Bacterial small subunit ribosomal RNA", at positions 30 to 523 of the family's 1533-position model. The record is from RNAcentral.